Molecule: ribosomal RNA, 496 nt
Filed under: uncultured bacterium
Lineage: Bacteria
Description: partial 16S ribosomal RNA
Rfam family: Bacterial small subunit ribosomal RNA
Source: RNAcentral
AUGAACGCUGGCGGCGUGCCUAAUACAUGCAAGUCGAGCGAACAGACGAGGAGCUUGCUCCUCUGACGUUAGCGGCGGACGGGUGAGUAACACGUGGAUAACCUACCUAUAAGACUGGGAUAACUUCGGGAAACCGGAGCUAAUACCGGAUAAUAUAUUGAACCGCAUGGUUCAAUAGUGAAAGACGGUUUUGCUGUCACUUAUAGAUGGAUCCGCGCCGCAUUAGCUAGUUGGUAAGGUAACGGCUUACCAAGGCAACGAUGCGUAGCCGACCUGAGAGGGUGAUCGGCCACACUGGAACCGAGACACGGUCCAGACUCCUACGGGAGGCAGCAGUAGGGAAUCUUCCGCAAUGGGCGAAAGCCUGACGGAGCAACGCCGCGUGAGUGAUGAAGGUCUUCGGAUCGUAAAACUCUGUUAUUAGGGAAGAACAAAUGUGUAAGUAACUAUGCACGUCUUGACGGUACCUAAUCAGAAAGCCACGGCUAACUACGUG